This 254-nucleotide ribosomal RNA is filed under the name uncultured bacterium. RNAcentral's name for it is "partial 16S ribosomal RNA". It matches the Rfam family "Bacterial small subunit ribosomal RNA", at positions 524 to 776 of the family's 1533-position model. The record is from RNAcentral.
UACGGAGGAUCCAAGCGUUAUCCGGAAUUACUGGGCGUAAAGAGUUGCGUAGGUGGCAUAGUAAGCGAAACAUGAAAUCUUGUGGCUCAACCAUGAGACUAUGUUUUGAACUGCUAAGCUUGAGAAUGAGAGAGGUACCUGGAAUUUCUAGUGUAGGAGUGAAAUCCGUAGAUAUUAGAAGGAACACCGAUGGCGUAGGCAGGGUACUGGCUCAUUUCUGACACUAAGGCACGAAAGCGUGGGGAGCAAAUGGG